RNAcentral lists this ribosomal RNA (479 nucleotides) under Brachymonas sp. canine oral taxon 015. RNAcentral's name for it is "bacterial SSU rRNA". It matches the Rfam family "Bacterial small subunit ribosomal RNA", at positions 9 to 479 of the family's 1533-position model. Lineage: Bacteria; Pseudomonadati; Pseudomonadota; Betaproteobacteria; Burkholderiales; Comamonadaceae. The record is from RNAcentral.
GAGUUUGAUUCUGGCUCAGAUUGAACGCUGGCGGCAUGCUUUACACAUGCAAGUCGAACGGCAGCACAAGGAGCUUGCUCCUGGGUGGCGAGUGGCGAACGGGUGAGUAAUGUAUCGGAACGUGCCUGGUAGUGGGGGAUAACCACUCGAAAGAGUGGCUAAUACCGCAUGAGAUCUCUGGAUGAAAGCGGGGGACCUUUGGGCCUCGCGCUAUCGGAGCGGCCGAUAUCAGAUUAGGUUGUUGGUGGGGUAAAGGCCUACCAAGCCUGCGAUCUGUAGCUGGUCUGAGAGGACGACCAGCCACACUGGGACUGAGACACGGCCCAGACUCCUACGGGAGGCAGCAGUGGGGAAUUUUGGACAAUGGGCGCAAGCCUGAUCCAGCAAUGCCGCGUGCAGGACGAAGGCCCUCGGGUUGUAAACUGCUUUUGUACAGAACGAAAAGUCUCUGGCUAAUACCUGGGGAACAUGACGGUACU